RNAcentral lists this microRNA precursor (101 nucleotides) under Bigelowiella natans CCMP2755. RNAcentral's name for it is "miRNA EPrBNAG00000013090". Lineage: Eukaryota; Cercozoa; Chlorarachniophyceae. The record is from RNAcentral.
UGCUGCUGAUGAUGAUGAUGAUGAUGAUGAUGAUGAUGUGUGGAUGAACAUGCUGUCGUGUAUUACGUUAGUCGUCGUCGUCGUCGUCUUCAUCAUCUAUC